GACGAACGCUGGCGGCGUGCUUAACACAUGCAAGUCGAACGCUGAAGCUCAGCUUUUGUUGGGUGGAUGAGUGGCGAACGGGUGAGUAACACGUGAGUAACCUGCCCCCUUCUUUGGGAUAACGCCCGGAAACGGGUGCUAAUACUGGAUAUUCACUGGUCUUCGCAUGGGGGUUGGUGGAAAGGGUUUUUCUGGUGGGGGAUGGGCUCGCGGCCUAUCAGCUUGUUGGUGGGGUGAUGGCCUACCAAGGCUUUGACGGGUAGCCGGCCUGAGAGGGUGACCGGUCACAUUGGGACUGAGAUACGGCCGAGACUCCUACGGGAGGCAGCAGUGGGGAAUAUGGCACAAUGGGCGCAAGACUGAUGCAGCGACGCCGCGUGAGGGAUGGAGGCCUUCGGGUUGUGAACCUCUUUCGCUCAUGGUCAAGCCGCAACAAUGGUUGUGGUGAGGGUAGUGGGUAAAGAAGCGCCGGCUAACUACGUG
This 483-nucleotide ribosomal RNA is filed under the name uncultured bacterium. RNAcentral's name for it is "partial 16S ribosomal RNA". It matches the Rfam family "Bacterial small subunit ribosomal RNA", at positions 28 to 507 of the family's 1533-position model. The record is from RNAcentral.